GGGACCCUUACUGCUGCAUAUCAAUGGGUGCCGUUCAAAUUCCCAGGGAUUAUUGGAGGGGGGAAAAAGAAGUGGGGGGGAGGAAGAGGAAGAAGAAAAAAAUAGGAUGUACGCUUCCCUCGGAUCGGUGACGACUGGUGCAGGGCGUUCACCGGCGCACGGAUCAGCUUCACAUCCAGCACCACGGGCAGCUCUCGGUGUAUUUCAGGACCAUGGAGAGUGCCUCUCCUCGCAGCUUUUCUUUUCUUUUUUUUUAAAGGGAGCUUCUCUGAACACUGACUGGACCCGAUCUUUCUAUACUGGAAAAAGUGAACCUACCUCUGCAACUUCUCUAAAAACAAAAAACAAAAAAAACCAGAGCUUUACACGCGUAAAGGGGCCUCCUGCACACCUGCGAUAAUUGGAGCAACACACCACUUUUUUUUGAUUCGCCACAAAGAAUCCAAAGCCUCCAUCAGUUUCUAACAAGGUUAGCUGAAUAUGGGACAAAGUAGGACACAUUUAGAGAAGAGCAGGAAUUGUGACACUUUUUUUUCCUUCCCCCCCUCAACCCCUCCACCCUCCACAUAUGACGCAUGUGGUGAGGUAAGUGUGGCAGAUGCCUACGUGUGCAGAUGGUCCAGUCUGCUGGUCCCUAUCCGCCCUGGGCUUGAUGUAACACCCAUGUACAUGCAAAAAGGCCCCAGAUGUGGUCGUGUGCUGUGCACGCCUGCUCCAUGGGCACACCACUAAAGACAAAAAAAAGCUCCCCAUUUUUUAAAACCCUUUUUCGUGAACUUGUUCUUUACUGGAGCAUGAAAUUGUAUGAUGUAGGCCUGCGCAUUGGAUGGAUUUACACUUGUAGUUUGGCUCCUUUGGUUGCAGGAUCUUUGUCGUUUCUAGACUGGAGUUGAGCCGGAUCUUGGUUUCUGAUGCAGAAUUUCUUUCUAAAAGGGUUUAUGAGCAAGACCUGAUGUGAACAAUUCACAUUUGCAAGUGUUAUGUUCAAGUAAGAGGUCAAAUGUAGGGGCCAGGUGAAUUUCUUAGAUUAAUUUAAUGAUCAAAAGGAGCUUUUAGACUACAUCGCAUCACUAGCUUUGACAUUAACUCUAUUUUCGUUCAUGAAAACUGUGAAAGUAUGGAACAAAGUAGGAGGUGUGGCAAGUCCUUCCCUGUAAUGUGAAUGUUUAUAUUCACCAUAGUAUUAUCUUUUAAAGUAUACAGCCUUACCAUUCCCAGAAAUGACAGUGAUAUGUCUUUUGUUUAGUCUGUUUGUUAUAAAAGGUGCAUUUUAUUAAUAAGAGCAGCAAUUUGUAACAAAUGUCCCUCACUCAAAGUUAGAACAGCAAUCUAAACCUCACAUAAAAGUGCACAGAAGACACCGAAAAAAGCUCCACUGAUCAAAACCUCAGACAUUUAAACAUAAACUGUGAAAUAAGGUACAGGAUGAUAGACAGAAAUUUGUGUUAAGCAGCAUUUUGUCACACUGUGUCAUUAAUAAAUGUAAAAAAAAAGAUUAUGAUAUGUAUGUAUAGUUCUUGUUAUCACCUCAUAUGAUUUGUAGCCUUCAGCAGUUUAGAGCUUCAGCAGGUGAUGGCUUUGAGGGCGAAUAUUUUGUUCUGAUAAAGGCGUGGCAAGGAAGGCUGUUUAGAGGAACUACCUGUAUGUCUGAAUGCACACAGUGAAAAAGAUGCAGCUACACAUUACAUGUUUCCUACCAUCUUCUUCGUGCUGACACAUAUGGAGGCUGUUUUCUGAUUGAGGCAGAUUAAUGUUUCAUAUUUCCUGAUUAUCCUGUGGAGCCUUUCGAACACACUUCUAGAGUCAUAUCAUGCUUUACUACAGCGUGUUCGGAUCCAAAUCUGGCAAAGGAAUCAUGUGAUUUGAUGGAGUGUACUUAGGGAUGUUAUUUUUGCAUGUCUGUGGUUUAAUUGCCUUAUACAACCUUUUAGAGCUUUUAUGUAGAUCAGUGGUUUUAACAUGGUCUCACAGUUCAGACAUGUUUGAAGUCGAUGAAGUGGAGUUUUGAAUUAUCUUGAAUGUCAGAGAUUUAUUACUGCUGCUCACAGUGGUGCUGAUUCCUGUGAGUGAAGGUGGAUAAAUGAUGGAAACAAUCAUUUACAGGUUAUUUUUACAUAUGUGAUGAAGAGCGAAUGGCUAGGUUUGCAAAAACAGUUCACCUAGAUCUCACACCACACUGGUGUGCAUCACGGCUGUGAUCAUUUCAGAUAGUUUGGGUGGGAUUUGGUGCAGUAUUUUAUCUAAACUACAGAUCAGUGAUUUUUCAGUAGAUAUAUUUACUAGCACUCCACCACGACAGAUAAGUUGAAGAAGUUCACAUAACUGGAGCUUAGUAUUUAAUUUCAGGAAACAAGCUACAUUAAAAUGUUCAAUUCAGACAUCCUGUUAGUGGGUGGAUACAUGAGCACCAAACUUCCUUCUGACAAACCGAAUUGAAAGGAAAAUGUUUUUGGAGGUAUUUUCUCUCAAUCUAAGGAAAACGCGUGGCAGUGCUCUUCUGAGUGAGAUCGUCUCGUGCCGCAGUCGCUGCAGAGUUAACAGAGGCUGAAUAUCUUGAAUGUGGUGAUGGUUUGGUGAGUCUGUAGCAGAUUAUGGGGUUUUAUCACCCAAAGAAGUUAAAAACUGGACUGGAUCAGCUCCCUGAAGUGCAAAGAGGUCAAUGUGACGCCAACACCGAAGUUUCCUCAGGUGAAAGGACCAGGUGAAGAUGCCAAGUUUGUAUCACUGUGGCCUGAUGGACCAAAGUGGAGAACAAGAUGGUUGCACACCUCUUUCAUCAUCACAAAGCUGUGACAAUGUUGCUCUUUUAAAAUGCACCAAAGACAUCAAAGACCAAACCAGGUUCGCAGUGACUGACACUUUCACUGUCUGUGUGGAGGACAUCUUCUUUCUCAGUAACAUGGGCUCCAUGUUGCUCAGACUGGACAUCACAAGCUUGCUUAACCUUUUAUUGUUGUAACAUCAGGAGCUCUUAAAUCUUCAGGAAAGAGCCGUCAAGAUGUUGCAUGUACAGCGUUCAUCAGAUCUCUCUGAGGGAAAAUGGCAGCUUCUUCUUUUUGUUCUUUCAGAGACAGAACAAAGGAAAUGGGAUCUGUGCUUCAUUAGAGGAGAUCCUCGAAGUCCUGCGCUGCUUAAGAAUGUUAUCAAGCAUGUUUCAGUCCUUAAGGCAGAUCGGGCUUCUGGUUGCAGACAGAGUCACAAUUUAUUCCACAUAUGAAAGAAUUUGGGAAAGCAGAGUGUGCGAUACUUCGUAAUGUUAAAAAAUGACCCAAAAAAGUCGGCAAAUAAAGUCUGAUUCCAGGAGAUGGUGCGUCUUAUUCACAAGCUGCAUAUGUGCGCGUUAGUAGGUCUUGAUGAUCUUUUAAAUCUAAAUAUUUUGGUGUAUAGUCCAGUCUGACGUAGAAAGUUUCUAUGUAAGUCAGCUGAAGUAUUCACUGAUCUUAUUUGAACAAAAAAAAUUUUAAAAAGGUGUUUCAAUUAAUCUCUAAACCUAGUGGCAGUGUCAAAUUUGCUUAAUAGAAUUCACCAGAAAUUGCAGUAUAUUCUGCAGGUGGGAAGGGAACUACAUUUACCUAUUUAAAAUGUGCAGUUACUCAGUCUAAACCUGUGAAAUGCAGAGUCAUGUCUGCACUGGAUGUUUACCAUGUUGCUGCUGGUGUAAACUGGAGGAAAAGAAGAAUAGAUUAAAAACAGGUGAAGUUUGGUGAAGUCCAAACCAAUGAUCAGCUGAAGGACUGUAACACACUUUGUUUAACUACAACAUGAGGUGAUUACUCUGCUGCAGAUAACAUUGUAUGUGUGCUGGAAAUUAUAUGGGUGUGAUCAGACAUCAAAGUUAAUACUGUGUUCAUUAACUAACUAAAAAUCUCAGUUUAACAUCCAGUUAAGAUGCUGCGUAAAUUCAGCUCUGCUGAAGUCUAAUUAACCCUGAAAAUUCUAAUCGAAUUCUAGCAUUUGUGUCUUUAUCAUUGAUUGUUUUUAGCAUGUCUGGUUAUAGUUUUAUCCCAUGUGUGUUUCAUUUUUAGAUCUAAAUCUUCAGUCAUAGAUUGAGGUCUCAAAUUAUUGACAUGCACUUGGAUGUGUAGAACAAAAUUUCAUUAAUUCUGAGGUGUGUGAACAUGUAACCAUAAAGCAGGGAGGCAAAAGGUGUUAGUUUACUGACCAUAACCUGGCGAUGAACUGAACUGCUGUUUGUUUAUCCAGACUUCUUCUGAUUUAAAAAUUAUUUUGCUGUUAAAGGGUACAAAUUGCAAAUGUUGUGUCUUUUUCAGGGAUUUUUGCACAAUAUAUUCAUAUAUUUAUAGGUAUAUUUAAGAAAGGCUGACAAGCAAAUGGAGAAAGAUUGUUAUUAAAAGAAUCGUUACGUAGAUGCAUACAUUUUAUGGUAUUAUGCAGAACUUCUUGAGGAAGGUGUGCCUUGGCUGUCUCUUAUAUUUGAAACUACCCACUUUAGAAAGUCACUGAAUGCACCAGAUGAGCUAAAGGUUCUUUUUCUUCUUCUACAGGUGCUGAUAAUGUUGACACAAGAUCCCAGGAUCCACCUUUUUGUCCUUUGUGGGUCUUUUUGCGGUCUGGGCUUGCUGUUCCUAAGGCAGUAGCCAGGAAGCCCUUACCCCAAAAAGUAUCUGCACUGGAUUCUGGCAGCUGAAAGCAGAAAUCUCACUUUCCGUCUCCCUGAUGGGGCAUCUCUCAUCUCUGGUGCUGAUUCAGAGUGAGGACACUGUUCAUUUGCAAGUUUCUUUAUGGUUCUUGACAAUCCGAGCUUGUCAAAGGCUAGUGUGGCUUGUGAAAUGCAAGAAUAUGAUUCUUUUUUGUAAACUGGAAGCCUUUGAGAAGCAUAAUACAGGAUAUGGCAGAAUAGACCAGAGCAGGUAACCUGAGAACAAUCCAAUUGGAAAGAAUCUUAUUAUAGUAAGAAACAGACAGCAGUUUUACUCAGCUCCACUCCGGAUUGAGAAGUGUAAAGCAACACUUCCUGAAGUCACUUAAUAUCAGAUUUGCUAUUUAGGAAAACACAGACAGGAUGAACCUUUGACAAUUUCAAUACACCAGGCAGUGUAGAUACGUUUUGAACAGACAAAAUAUACAAAUUCUUUCUAUAGGGGAACUGAGUUAAAAGUAGAUGCUGUUUCCAUAGAUUUGUGUGGGUGAAAAAGAAUCUCACUCUCGAAAUGAGGAUCUUGAAGUGUCACAGAAUCUCACACAACGGGUUAAGGGAGAGGAACCCCCUGAACAAAAGGCAAAAGACAGGAUUUGUACAUUUGUGACACGUUAUAUAGCUACAUGUAAGUUCUUUCUGCUCUGGAUAGUUGGGAGACCAAACCGGACAAUAGCCCCAGUGCGAUUUCUAACAUUUUGUACCUGCAAUGCAUGAGGAAAAUUCUGCAUUCCUUGUGUCAUAUGAUGCAAAUAUUGCUUUCUUUGCUUUAUGAAUGAAUGCACUUGGAUGUUACUCUAAAAUCUGCCAUUAAUACACUGUCUUCAUGCAUUUUUAAGUACAUUCUGUUGUCUAUUUUCAGUGAUUUUGCAUCAUCUUAGAUCCGCUUUUUUUUUUUUUUAAAGUGUGCUGUGUCGUAAUGAGCGUGAAUGUAAAGCAUGCGGACUACUACUAACAAUACGUUAUGUCAUAGGAGUAACUGUGUGUGAAAUCAAGCAGCAAAAAUAUGAAUGGAAUGUCAUCAGCAGGCCAGACAUUUAUAGAAGUGCCCCUAGAAACUACAUCAACAGGAUGUCGACAGCCAAUAAACACGCUGAGUAAAAUGGACGUGUAGCUUCAAGCCUUUGACGUACUCUGUGUUACAUAAAUAGGAUUAUUUAUCCAAACCCAUGAGCCUUCACAAUGUAGUUUUUGUACGCCAAAACCCGAGGCACUUUUUUGUGCGCUGACAAGGCCACUUUACUUAACUUCCAUCACUCAGGGAUGUCUGUACUGUACAUACAGUACACAACGAGUACAUGUGACGUCCUCUCCGGAGCACAUGUUGGAUGAUAUUAUGCAGAAGAAUUUGGCCCUCAUUGACCAUCCCUUUCCAUCUCAGCGUCUUUUUACACUUUCGUCUUUCCUAUUAUUGCCGCUUCUACUCAACAGCUUCUGUGCGGUCACACACGCUCAAUUUUUAUUCAUUUUAUUUAAAUUCACUUCCUCGCUUCACUCUAAAGCAGCUGCUGCUGUUUCCAUGAAUGUAAGGUGGACAUUUGCUCUCACAUGUUGUGCCUUGUUGCAUAAAACUGAAAUAAAAUUAAUAUUAAACACUG
Amphiprion ocellaris (clown anemonefish) is the source of this 6255-nucleotide long non-coding RNA. RefSeq lists it as uncharacterized. The transcript has 2 exons. The record is from RefSeq and is a predicted model, not a curated record. NCBI's taxonomy places the organism in Eukaryota, Metazoa, Chordata, Actinopteri, Pomacentridae.